This 4215-nucleotide long non-coding RNA is filed under the name Eucalyptus grandis. RNAcentral describes it as "long non-coding RNA (EGRA_LNC002606)". The record is from RNAcentral. Lineage: Eukaryota; Viridiplantae; Streptophyta; Magnoliopsida; Myrtales; Myrtaceae.
UUUUGUAUAUGAUGUGUGGGACAAAGAGGAAACGGUUUCACGGAACUAAUGGAUAAAACAUCCACGACGGCUCAAUGCUAGGAAUAGCAACAGAGCAAAAGGAGGUGGGAGAAGAGAAAAGUAUAUUUGCAUCUCCUCUUUCAAGCUUGGAAUCAAAGAAUAAAAAAGAAAGAGAACAUAUUUGUCACGUUCCGAACCUCGAGCGUAUGAACAUCCCUCGAUGGUCGAUAGAAUUUGCGACAUCCCAGGACGCGUCGCUGACCCUUUUGUUUUAUGUACAUGCGGAAGUGAACUAAUAAACCCCAGACAACAAUCAAACAUGGGAUAGAAAAGUAGGACAACCAAUUUUUACAAAACACACUUUAUAUACAGAGGUCUGUUUCAAAAAGAAACUACCAGACAAUCCACACCCCGGACCCUUUCACCUCGAGCUCCGGAUUCUCCAUCCUAGGGAUUUGAAAAAGUUAACCACGACGGGGUGAGAAGAAAUCUCAGCGAGUCCACACCCUAAACCCCGAUUAAGAUGAAAAUUCACCUAGAGGCAGCCUAAACAUGCAUCACUCACAACUUACAUCGCCUUGGUACCUCCCUGCAUAUUAGUACAUCUCAUAUAUCAUAUGUACACAACAAACAUAAUCAAUAACUGAAACACAUCAAUUCAUUCUCAAACAAUUAUAGGGGUCCCGAUUAUAAGGCUAAACUGUCAUGACAUGUUAUAUUCCGUGUCACACAAUUUCGUCCCAUAAUCAAGCGCGGCUAUCUCAUAUCGAUGGUUCAUUCACGCUCAAUAAUUAAACUCAAGGCUCUAGAGGUGGCUCCCAUGAAAUUAUUUUAUUGUGUAGCACUUAGCCCUUGAGCAUAUAUAGCAGUAGUACAAGGCUCUAGAGGUGGCUCCCAUAAAAUUAUGUUGUCGUGUAGUACUUAGCCCUUGACCACACAUAGCAGUAGUACAAAGCUCUAGAGGUGGCUCCCACGAAGUUAUGUUAUUGUGUAGCACUUAGCCCUUGACCAUGACUAGCAAUAGUACAAGGCUCUAGAGGCGGCUCCCACGAAAUUACGUUAUCGUGUAGCACUUAGCCCUUGACUUUGCAUGACAGUAGUGCAAAGCUCUAGAGAUGGCUCCCAUGUGACUCAAGUCGCCAUGUAGCACUUAGCCCUUGACUACAAGGCCCUUUACUCGUUCACUACCCCGCAUAAAUGCAUCAGGGUACUUAGGUGACCACACACACAUCCAUACUUGACUUAGGAUAUCGUGCUUUGCACUCAAAUACUACCAUUUCAAAUAAUAGACUUGGCUAACUUUCUUUGUAUUAAAAAUACCUGGUAAAAUAAUUGUGGGUGUUCACACAUUCAAAUUGAACCAUAAAAUGUGAUAUUGUCACAUUUCAAAAUCCCACGAUUUUAUGUAGUACAUAAAAUAUUUUUUGCAUCAAAACCUGACACUCAGUAUUUUUCUAAUUAAAUGCCAUAAAAUCAUAUUUUUACAAUAAUAAUCAAAAACAACAAUCCAGCACCCAAUUGCACAAAUCACUAAUCAAUUUCAUAUGUAAACGCAUCCAUGACGAUCAACAUAAAAUUUCACUAACUGGCUAUCCCGAUACAAUUUACACUAAUUAUAAUUAAAUAAAUAAAUUACAUUUAAUUAAACUGAACUACUUAAUUAACCUAACAAUGCAGGCACCUCAUCAAUCAGGUCAACCUUAUCCUCCCUCAUAUAGUCAUGAACACCAAAAAUCCCUUUUAAAAAUAAACUUAGGCCCUGUUUGUUUGUGUUCUUUCUUUUUUUUUGUUCUUGAACACAAUUCCUUUUUUUUGUUCCGAGGAACAAAAAAAGAACAGAAAUGCAUUUGUUUGCAUUUUUGUUCCAAAUUAUUUUUUGUUUCCAGGAACAAUUGUUUCUAGAACACUUCCGAAAAACAAUUUUUCUAUCUCCUAUUUUUUUCUUCUCUUUCUUUUCUUCUUCUUUUUUCUUUGGCCGGUCGUCGGCCUCGGCCAUGGCUGGCGACCUUGCCGGAGGGGUGCCGCCAUGGCGAGGCUCAGCCUCGCCUUGACAACUCGCCCAAAUUAGGCGAGGCCGAGCUCGCCCAACCAUCGGCGAGGCUUAGCCUCGCCAGGCCAUUGCUAGGUCGGUGUCGCCUAGCGGUGGCCCGACGAGGCCGAGCCUUGCCAGGGGCCGGUGAGCCUCGUCGUGGCUAGGCAAGGCCGCCAGCCCUCUUUGGCCGGUCGCUAGCCAUGGCCGAGGCUGGCGACCGGCCAAAAGGAAGAAAAAAGGAAAAAGAAAAAAGAAAAAAUGAAAGAGAAAAUAAAAAUAUUAAAAAAUUAUAUAAGUUUAUCAAAUGUGUUUUUGUUCUUUUUCUAUUCCAAGAACAAGUUUACCAAACACCUUCUUCUAUUCAAAAUUGUUCCUCGGAACAUAAAUAGUUCCUGGAACAAUUUUUGAACAGAAACGUUACCAAACGCACCCUUAGUAACUUUUUUUUUUGGUUCAAACUUUCCGAAAUAAAUUCGUACAGGGUCACGUAUUUGAAAUUAACCUGCCAAACUUUGCACGCAUCUUGUAUAAAACCUCAUCGUUUUAUUGAGCACAUAAAACUUGGCAUUCAAACCCGACACCAUAUUUCUUUUCUAAUUUCUUUUUUAACCACUCUCUUUUGAAAACUAACCUUAGUAACCUCUCUCUCUCUCUCUCUCUCUCUCUCUCUCUCUCUCUCUCUCUCUCUUUGUUGAAAACGUUUAGAAAUAAAUUCAUAGGUGCUCAUAUACUCAAAAUUAAUCCGUCAAACUUUACACGUACCUAGUUUAAAACCUCAUUAUUUUAUUGAGCAAAUAAGUUUUGGUGUCCAGAUCCGACAUCUCAUUUAUUUUCUAUUUAAUAGCAUAAAAGGUCACAUUUUGCAAUAAGACUAGGCAACCAACAUAGAGCAAUCAAUCUCAUCGUCUCAUGCACAAGCUCUCAGCAUGCCCCACACAUCAACCACAUCACAAAACAUACAAUUUCCAGCAAACAAAACCUCAAAAACAACCACAAAACCACAACCGACCCUAUCCUGCAGAAAUCGGGUCAUUCGCAUGUCUCUAAGUUUAAAUCCAGAAAUCUAACCAUACGAGCUCAAAAAAUUCUCAAAUUUGAAUAUGUUCUAAAGGACAACUAAACGAACAUUAUGAAGACACCUUGACCCAAAUAUUUCUAGAUUAAGAGCAGUAAAUCGCUCAAACUGUUACAAAAACUGUGUUCAUUUCCAGAAAUCACGUUUUCCAAAAUCAGUUUGGUUCGAGGUCCAAAACAUGUCCGUUUGAUCUUAAAUUUGACUAUGUUAAAAUAAAAGAUGUGAGGAACAAUUUUUUUUUUUAAAAACCCAUUUCGAAAAUCGAACCCGAAGAGUUAAUAAAAAUCAUUUAAACACGAAAAUGUCACAAAUUCCAACACAGUCCAAGAUCCUAUUUUGCAAAUGACGAAUCUGAAAUCUCAUUUUUUUAAAUCUCUAAAAUUUUGAGUAAAGUAUAUGUUAUAGCUGAAGAUGUCUAAAACAUUUAUCAAGAAGGAAGCAACCUCAAAAUCAUAACACAUUUCCAUCCAUGAAAAUAGCAAAUGGCGAGGGUCCAACGAACUGAUCUGGGAAGAAAUUCACUAAACCAAACUAAACCACCCUUAUUAGUGCUAAUUCAACCAAUUAGAUCAACACUAAUCCAUUUUAAGGCUAAUCUCACUUAAUAAUAAUUUAACUAAGCUAAUUAAUACUAAUCCACCUAACUAAGUGCAUCCUAAUUCAAGAUUAGGGCGUUAACUCACUGGAUUAGCAAGAUAAAAGGUCCACGGCUACGGUGGCGCGACGGCGGUGAGAUCCCGUGCCUACGAUUUCUCCAACGGAGGGUCGGAUGGGGCUGAAAAAUGGCUCACAAGCUCACAGCUUGAGCUGGGAUUCUAUUCUGCUUGAGUUGGCUGAACGGUCUUGGUUGGGCUGGCUGUGGCGGGGCUACUUGUGGGCAGAGGAGGACGGUUGGGCGGUGAGGUGGUGAGGGUGGUGCGGGAUCGAGAGGUGGAGCGAUGGCUGGUCAAGGCUGGCGUGAGGAGGUGGCAAUAGCAAGGAAAGGGAGGAUGAAGAAGAAAGGAAGAAGAGGAAGAUGAAGCAAAGCAGAAACAAAAGUUGUUCAACUGGAAAGGAGGGGCUGUUCGCACGUUCAAGGGGGAAGAGAUGAGGGAGAGAGGGGACAAGG